This 497-nucleotide ribosomal RNA is filed under the name uncultured bacterium. RNAcentral describes it as "partial 16S ribosomal RNA". It matches the Rfam family "Bacterial small subunit ribosomal RNA", at positions 28 to 507 of the family's 1533-position model. The record is from RNAcentral.
GAUGAACGCUGGCGGCGUGCCUAAUACAUGCAAGUCGAGCGAACAGGCGAGGAGCUUGCUCCUCUGACGUUAGCGGCGGACGGGUGAGUAACACGUGGAUAACCUACCUAUAAGACUGGGAUAACUUCGGGAAACCGGAGCUAAUACCGGAUAAUAUAUUGAACCGCAUGGUUCAAUAGUGAAAGACGGUUUUGCUGUCACUUAUAGAUGGAUCCGCGCCGCAUUAGCUAGUUGGUAAGGUAACGGCUUACCAAGGCAACGAUGCGUAGCCGACCUGAGAGGGUGAACGGCCACACUGGAACUGAGACACGGUCCAGACUCCUACGGGAGGCAGCAGUAGGGAAUCUUCCGCAAUGGGCGAAAGCCUGACGGAGCAACGCCGCGUGAGUGAUGAAGGUCUUCGGAUCGUAAAACUCUGUUAUUAGGGAAGAACAAAUGUGUAAGUAACUAUGCACGUCUUGACGGUACCUAAUCAGAAAGCCACGGCUAACUACGUG